UAAAUCUUGAAUAGAUUGUCUUCUGUGUUUGGCUGUGUCCAAGGGAGUGAGAGGACCUUCUUCAAAACAGUUUGUUUUGGUGAACAUUCUAAUGAAAUUGUAGAAUAUAAUUUCAAAAUUCUACCAAAAGCUUGAUUCAGGGUGAUUUGAUUUGGCAGUUUUCUGUUUACUUUGUGUUAGCAUCUCAUUGAUCAGGUCAUCUCGUGAACUAGUCAUUCCCUAUUUUCAGUAUUGAAUUCAUCAUCCAGUUGUUUCUGCUUUUGCAGAUCUUGUGCUGAAAGAUAAGAUUUUUGUAUAUGACUUGGCUAAUGAGCGUAUUGGAUGGACAAACUAUGACUGUUCCUUAUCAGUAAACGUCUCAGUGGCUGCAACCAAGAGCAAAGAUCAGUACAUCAAUGCAGGAACGCUGAGUGUCAGCAGCUCCCUCAUAGGCCAUGUAUACAAGUUACUACCUGUAAGCAUUGUGGUUCUCCUUGUCCACAUGAUAGUUUCCAUGGUGUCCCCAAUUUCGUGACUCACUUCCAAGAUUUUCAAAAGCUCAUUCUUUGAAACUCCCUGGAUUCGCCGAUGUUUUGCUCAUUAUCGGCGGUCCCAUGAUGUUUUGACGGGGAUUUGUAGCUGUUUCUGCUCUGUAUUUAUGUCAUUGGCAUCUCUCCAUUAAAUAUGAUGAAAAUGUGAAAUCUCAUUGUAAAGCGGCUCUCUUUUAGAGAAAUGGCAUACUUGUAUAUUAUUAUAUCUGUAAUGGUAGAUUAAAUUGUAGUAUUUAUAAAGGUGCUCUGAACGCAUAGAACAUUUCAGUUGUCACUUGUGAGUAGAGUUACUUUCAUAGAAAUCUCACAUGGUCAUGGUAUUCCAUUAA
Arachis ipaensis is the source of this 859-nucleotide non-coding RNA. The record is from RefSeq and is a predicted model, not a curated record. Lineage: Eukaryota; Viridiplantae; Streptophyta; Magnoliopsida; Fabales; Fabaceae.